UACGUAGGGCGCAAGCGUUGUCCGGAAUUAUUGGGCGUAAAGAGCUCGUAGGCGGUUUGUCACGUCUGCUGUGAAAACUGGAGGCUCAACCUCCAGCCUGCAGUGGGUACGGGCAGACUAGAGUGCGGUAGGGGAGACUGGAAUUCCUGGUGUAGCGGUGAAAUGCGUAGAUAUCAGGAGGAACACCAAUGGCGAAGGCAGGUCUCUGGGCCGUAACUGACGCUGAGGAGCGAAAGCGUGGGGAGCGAACAGG
RNAcentral lists this ribosomal RNA (253 nucleotides) under uncultured bacterium. RNAcentral's name for it is "partial 16S ribosomal RNA". It matches the Rfam family "Bacterial small subunit ribosomal RNA", at positions 524 to 776 of the family's 1533-position model. The record is from RNAcentral.